GAUGAACGCUGGCGGCGUGCCUAAUACAUGCAAGCCGAGCGAACAGACGAGGAGCUUGCUCCUCUGACGUUAGCGGCGGACGGGUGAGUAACACGUGGAUAACCUACCUAUAAGACUGGGAUAACUUCGGGAAACCGGAGCUAAUACCGGAUAAUAUAUUGAACCGCAUGGUUCAAUAGUGAAAGACGGUUUUGCUGUCACUUAUAGAUGGAUCCGCGCCGCAUUAGCUAGUUGGUAAGGUAACGGCUUACCAAGGCAACGAUGCGUAGCCGACCUGAGAGGGUGAUCGGCCACACUGGAACUGAGACACGGUCCAGACUCCUACGGGAGGCAGCAGUAGGGAAUCUUCCGCAAUGGGCGAAAGCCUGACGGAGCAACGCCGCGUGAGUGAUGAAGGUCUUCGGAUCGUAAAACUCUGUUAUUAGGGAAGAACAAAUGUGUAAAUAACUAUGCACGUCUUGACGGUACCUAAUCAGAAAGCCACGGCUAACUACGUG
RNAcentral lists this ribosomal RNA (497 nucleotides) under uncultured bacterium. RNAcentral's name for it is "partial 16S ribosomal RNA". It matches the Rfam family "Bacterial small subunit ribosomal RNA", at positions 28 to 507 of the family's 1533-position model. The record is from RNAcentral.